This 337-nucleotide long non-coding RNA is filed under the name Erythranthe guttata (spotted monkey flower). Its description in RNAcentral is "long non-coding RNA (EGUT_LNC001019)". The record is from RNAcentral. Lineage: Eukaryota; Viridiplantae; Streptophyta; Magnoliopsida; Lamiales; Phrymaceae.
UCGUGUGAAUGUAGUUUCUUCUUAUCACCGUCUUGCAAAAACGAGUUGUUCGAUCCACGAGAAGACGAGUAAUGAGAUAUAGGAGAGUUGUUAUUACAUGAGUUUAAGUGGUGAAGGUGAUUGUAAUUGGACGAGGCGGUUGCAUGGGAAUUAACGGUCGAGGGUGGGCUUUGGACCAAGUAUAGUGCGGCGUAGGGGUAAGAUCGGAAUAACGAUUCUACUUCUUCCUCUUCGGAAGAUUUCGCCAUUGCCACCGCUACUGUGUGUGUGCUGUGUGAGAAAAAAAAUGGCAAAUGGUCACAUGGGGUUUUUAAACCCACAAAAUAAAGAGAGGUAU